CUCCAUACUUGUUUCAUGCCCUAUGAAUCUAGGAACUGCCAUGUUCCCUCCGGAGAUUGUAACUUUGAGGGAUAAUAUAGUGAAACAAGUUGAGUAUUAUUUCAGUGAUGAAAAUCUUCAAAAUGAUCAUUACCUGAUUUCCUUGAUGGAUGAUCUAGGAUGGGUUCCGAUCUCCAACAUUGAGGACUUUAACGGGGUUAAGAGAAUGCGUACAGGCAUACAAUUCAUCCUUGAUACGCUGUUGUGUUCUUC
Hibiscus syriacus is the source of this 252-nucleotide long non-coding RNA. RefSeq lists it as uncharacterized. Lineage: Eukaryota; Viridiplantae; Streptophyta; Magnoliopsida; Malvales; Malvaceae. The record is from RefSeq and is a predicted model, not a curated record. The transcript has 3 exons.